This 389-nucleotide RNase P RNA is filed under the name Trichocoleus sp. FACHB-40. Its description in RNAcentral is "RNase P RNA component class A". It matches the Rfam family "Bacterial RNase P class A". From Rfam's summary of the family: Ribonuclease P (RNase P) is a ubiquitous endoribonuclease, found in archaea, bacteria and eukarya as well as chloroplasts and mitochondria. Its best characterised activity is the generation of mature 5'-ends of tRNAs by cleaving the 5'-leader elements of precursor-tRNAs. The record is from RNAcentral. RNAcentral also lists the same sequence under 1 other name. Lineage: Bacteria; Bacillati; Cyanobacteriota; Cyanophyceae; Leptolyngbyales; Trichocoleusaceae.
AGAGUAGGCGCAGGUGGUUGCGGACUCGUUCAUACCGAGUCUGAGGAAAGUCCGGACUCCCGAAAGACCAAACUUGCUGGGUAACGCCCAGUGCGGGCGACCGUGAGGAUAGUGCCACAGAAAGAUACCGCCAAGCAAUUUUGGAUUUUAGAUUCAAAAUUGCUUGGUAAGGGUGCAAAGGUGCGGUAAGAGCGCACCAGCAGCGUCGAGAGUCGCUGGCUCGGUAAACCCCGGUUGGGAGCAAGGUAGGAACCACGGUUGGUCUUUUCCCGGUUCCGCUAAUUUAACCGCUUGAGGCAUCUGGUAACAGGUGUCCCAGAUAGAUAACUGCCCUCCUGGCGGCACAGCUGCUAGGUAGAACAGAACCCGGCUUAUGUCCGACUCUCUCC